Molecule: ribosomal RNA, 1134 nt
Filed under: Triticum aestivum (bread wheat)
Lineage: Eukaryota; Viridiplantae; Streptophyta; Magnoliopsida; Poales; Poaceae
Description: partial small subunit ribosomal RNA
Source: RNAcentral
AUGAAACAUUGGGAUAAGAACUCUAUAGUUUGCAAAAUAAAUAUCAUAAAUCCAUAUUAUAUAAUUAAGUCAGGACCAAUAGAAGCUACUCCUAAAGAUAUCGAAGAGUUUAAAAUGCAUAUUGAAGAGUUAUUAAAGUUAAAAGCUAUAAGAGAAAGCAGAAGCCCUCAUCGGUCUGCUGCAUUCAUAGUCAGAAAUCACGCUGAAGAAGUAAGAGGUCUAAAGAAUGCACCUGCACUAUUUCAAAGAAAGAUGCAAAAUAUAUUUAAUGAGAAUCAAGCAUUUAUAUUGGUAUAUGUAGAUGAUUUGUUAGUAUUCUCAAAAUCAUACAAAGAGCAUAUAGCCCAUCUUGAAGUGUUCUUUCGAAAGGUAGAACAAAAUGGACUCAUACUACACAAAAAGAAGAUGGAAAUUUGCAAAGAAAAAAUAAAUUUCCUUGGUCAUGAAAUAGGAGAAGGAAAGAUAUAUCUACAAGAACAUAUUGCAAAGAAAAUAUUAGAGUUUCCUGAUAAUAUGAGUGAUAAAAAGGUUUUACAGCAGUUCUUAGGAAUUGUAAACUGUGCGCGAAACUAUAUAGACAACUUAGCAAAGUUAGCAGGACCUUUAUAUGCUAAAUUAAGGAAAAAUGGUCAAAAAUACUUCAAUUCCGAAGAUAUAAAAUUAGUAAAGGCCAUCAAGGAAAAGGUCAAGAAUUUAAAACCACUAGAAUUGCCUCUAGAAGACAAUUAUUUUAUAAUUGAAACAGAUGCAUCUAAGGUAGGAUGGGGUGCGAUACUAAAACAAAAGCCCAAUAAAUACUCUCCAAAGGCAGAUGAGAAAAUAUGCAGAUAUGCUUCGGGAAGUUACAAAUUAAAGACGGUAAAUAAUAUUGAUAGGGAAAUCCUUGCAGUUGUAAAUGCAAUAAAUGCAUUUAGGCUAUAUCUAGGAUUCAAAAAAUUUACAGUGCGAACAGAUUGUGAAGCUAUAUGUCGAUAUUACAAUAAAAUUAAUAGUAAGAAAAGCUCAACUAGAAGAUGGGUCUUAUUUGUAGACACCAUAGCUGGGAAUGGUUAUAAAGUUAUUUUUGAGCAUAUUAAGGGGAAGGAUAAUACCUUACCUGACAUAUUUUCUCGUGCAUCAAAUUUGCAGAAAUGA